AGGCAUUCUCCUAUCUAAGGCUGUGGAAUGAGGGCCUCAUGAUAUUGUUGCAAAUGUGGCUCCUUCGAAAUCGGGUCUUGGUGUCGUGGCGCCUUUGCUCGAGUUGUGAUUUAUCCAAGAGGAUAGUGCCUUCAUCUUCAGUGCGACUUUGGUGCUUUCCCCUCCUGUCAUAURAAAUGUAUGACUGUGGUGGGGUGAGAUCAUGGCUGCGUUGAGGACGUGCUACCUGGUUSAUCCUGCCAGUAGUCAUAUGGCUUG
RNAcentral lists this unclassified non-coding RNA (258 nucleotides) under Maxillaria tenuibulba. RNAcentral describes it as "partial external transcribed spacer". The record is from RNAcentral. Lineage: Eukaryota; Viridiplantae; Streptophyta; Magnoliopsida; Asparagales; Orchidaceae.